CUUUUCAAUCUAUUUCGAGUCUCCUCAGAAAAACUGCACCACCUCAACCUCCUCCUCUGAGGGGGACAUGACUCUACAACACUAGGUGAAGAGAAGCAGAUGAUAACCACAGUGAGAUUAUCAGUUGAAUGAAGACGUGAUGCUUCCAUAACUAGCUCUCUGGCGCACAACUCUGGGUCAUCAUGCCGCCUAAGCCCACGCCGGACCAAGCUGACAGCAUCCUGGCUUGACAUAACAUCCCAUAUGCCAUCACAACCAAUGA
This 262-nucleotide unclassified non-coding RNA is filed under the name Hevea brasiliensis (rubber tree). Lineage: Eukaryota; Viridiplantae; Streptophyta; Magnoliopsida; Malpighiales; Euphorbiaceae. The record is from RNAcentral.